AUGGCCGCCAACGGCCAGCCGGCGGCGGCGGCCGCCACCAUCGACGACCUCCCUGAAAACCUGCUGCUCGAUAUCUUCCUCCGCCUUGCCUCCCUCUCGGACCUCGUCCGCGCCGCCUGCACCUGCCUGGCCUGGCGCAACCUGGUGACCAAUUUUCCCCCCUUCCGCCGUCAAUUCAUCGACCUCCACCCGGUGCCCCUCCUCGGCCUCUUCUUCGACACACCAUUUCAUGGUGUCCCCUGCAUCCCCGCCUUCGCCCCCGCCCGCCGGAAUGAUCCGGAGCUCGUGGCCGCCAUCUUGAGCGGUGACUUUUUCCUCACCACCCUCCAGGCGCGCGAUGGACCGGAAGCUAACUGGAUCGUCUACGACGCCCGUGGCGGCUACCUUCUCCUCAAGAAACUGGGCGAGCUAUUGCUCGCGCUGCUAAACCCCUUGGCACGGUGGUGCGAACGGUUCUUUGAUCUGAGUGACGCCCACAUCUUCGACGACGACGACGACCGCGAAGGCGAUGGUCAAUUCCUUCACGCCGGCCUGAUCUGCGAUGACGAAAACCCCGAGAGCUUUCGCAUCUUCUGUCUUGUUGCCCAUGGAAAGUUCAGGUUGCGGGCUGCGGUCUUCUCCUCAUUCUUGGGAAUAGGCGGCGAUUGGUUCCUCUCCCCAUGGUUGGAUGUCCCGCAGCCCGACCCGGAAGGCGGCCAAGGUGAUCUUUUGCCUGAGAGCGGCAUGCGAGUGGGUAAUUUCAUCUACUGGCCAUAUCGGGAUCGUGCGUAUGUGGUUGUCUUGGACCCCGACCCAAACAACCCGCGAUUGUUUGUUGAGAUGAUCCCACCUCUCCUGAAUCUGGAUGGUUUUCCCAGCUCGAUCCUUGGCCAAAUUAACGGCGAUAACAUGUGCAUUGCUUAUUCAAAUGGAUUCAACAUUGGUUUCAUGCUGCGUCAAGAAGAUGGCCUUGAUGCUGGGGCAUGGGCUAACAUCAGGGUAUUCGACCUGACUGAUAAAGUUCGACGGAAGCUUGGGCACUUAACCAAUGGGCUGGAAAUUGCGGCAAUGCGGGGUAGCAUAGUGUACUUCACAACAUCACAGAUGUUCCAUCCGCUCGAGUACACUUGUUGGUUUGCUUGUCUGUGCUUGGAGAGUCGCAGGCUGGAGUGGUUGUUUCCGAGGACGUAUAAUGGUCUCUUCCAACCAUACCACCAUUCAUCGUGGAGUACUUUUCUGUUACCAGAGAAUGAAAGAUUUUAUCCCUUCAUAUGA
RNAcentral lists this ribosomal RNA (1254 nucleotides) under Triticum aestivum (bread wheat). RNAcentral's name for it is "partial small subunit ribosomal RNA". The record is from RNAcentral. Lineage: Eukaryota; Viridiplantae; Streptophyta; Magnoliopsida; Poales; Poaceae.